CAUUAACAACUUUUUGCAUAGUAACGCUAAGAGAAAUGAGGUUUGGGAUGAGAUAUAUGAAUGUGGUUGAAGAUUGAUCGAAAAAAUGGAAGCUUGCCGGAAAUUCUUUUUUGGGUUGACAUCUAUUGACGUUGGGAAGUAUUUUUAGAAGCAGCCUUUGAUUUUCUCUUCCUUGCUGAAUAGCUACCAACUCCCACCGAGCCCAC
Molecule: long non-coding RNA, 206 nt
Filed under: Nicotiana benthamiana
Lineage: Eukaryota; Viridiplantae; Streptophyta; Magnoliopsida; Solanales; Solanaceae
Description: long non-coding RNA (NBEN_LNC017053)
Source: RNAcentral